RNAcentral lists this transfer RNA (77 nucleotides) under Candidatus Omnitrophota bacterium. Its description in RNAcentral is "Candidatus Omnitrophica bacterium tRNA-Val". It matches the Rfam family "tRNA". From Rfam's summary of the family: Transfer RNA (tRNA) molecules are approximately 80 nucleotides in length. Their secondary structure includes four short double-helical elements and three loops (D, anti-codon, and T loops). Lineage: Bacteria; Pseudomonadati; Candidatus Omnitrophota. The record is from RNAcentral.
GGGCGAUUCGUCCAGUUGGUUAGGACGCCACAUUCACAUUGUGGAGGUCAGUGGUUCGAGUCCACUAUCGCCCACCA